CGGGUCAGAAUUUUUCGUCAAUUUAUCGACUCGAGUGUCAAGUGUUCAACAAGUGGUUUUAAAUAAUUGGGCUGAAAAUUAUUCAAGAGAGUACAAUUCAAGCAUUAUUGGGCUGAUCCAAUUGGUCCAUUCAAUUCAAUCCAGCACGAAUUAUCUAAUUGAUUUCAGAUUCAAUAAAUCAUAUGCGCGAAUUUUGGAAUUCAAUUAUAAUCUGCAACUUGCAAAGGGGAUGUUACACUCAUGUGGGGCUUUCUAAAUCAAGCAUCAUGUUACUUCAAUUAAGCCCCAUGCCCAGACAUGUAAAGAAUGAAGACAUGCAAAGAAUUAUUAAUUUAUUAAUUUUUUAUUAUCACGUGGGCCGCACCUUUUCAAGUAUCAGACUUGGUUGUUGUUUUAAAAAAAGUCAUCAGCCUUGGUUUUUUUUGUUUAAAAGUCAUCAGACUUUAUUUGUGAUGUAUACAUGACGUGGCAACUUGGCAAUUGUUAUUAUUUCCUUAUGAUCACACGUAGCAAGCCAACAAUCCUUAUUGAGAACUCAGUUUAAUCACACGGUAAAGGAAAUCCGGAGCGGUGAAGGAUUUUAUUUUAUUUGGAUUCUUAAUUUUAAAUUCUAUUGUACUUGGGAUUUCUUUUUUAAAUUGAUUUCUAUUUCCUUAUAGCAAUUAGGGUUAUAGUUUAUAAAUUCCUAUUAGGAUUUGGAUUGUUUUGAGUAGUAUAAAUAGAGGUUCAAGUUGAUGUAAACAUUAUACAUUAUUAUUAUUCAAUAUAUUUGUGAGGUUAUUCUCUACUUUUGGCUCUUUGAAGAAUUCUUAAGUAUUUUUCUUAGUUAUUUCUUUGAGGUUCAAUUUGACUUAUCAUACAACAAUUCAUAGUCGUGUGUGGCGUCUUCUACCGCAUCAAUCGUCGAUUGUACCGAGAUUACCCGCUUCAAUAUAAGCGAGGGGUCAAGGUGUCGUUGGUGUCCAUUCAACGCAGAAUUCCGAACGCGAGCAAUUGUACCAAGAUUACCGUCUACAUAUAGGCGAGGGGUUAAGGUGUUGCAAGCAAUUCACCCAACAACUGUGCUAGAAACGAUCGGGGCGACGACCACCUCACGCAAGCGUGCCGUGGAGUCUAUCAUUUGGUAUCAAAACUAAGCCUUUCUAGCGAGUUACUUAUCUUUAAUUUUCUGUCGAAAUAUAUAUUGUAAAAAAAAAAGCAAAAAAAAAGCAAAAAAAAAAUAAUAAUUCAUAUUUUCAUUGUGCUAACCAAACUUGUAGCACACCAUCAAAUUUCAACGAAGAUUUCAUACCGUUCAAUCAUCAUCAAUUCUGAAACGGAGCUACAAUUUACAAAUCUGACGCAUACAAGAGGAGUAUAAGGCAAUCGAUCGGUGAUUUUGUGAUAUUCUAAUAGUUACACCAUCUAUAAUUUUGUUUCGUGAUAAGUAAUUUUUGAAUUGAUUAGGAAAACCAAGAAUUUUGCUAGGAGAAUUCAAGAAGAACCUAUUAGAGAGAAUAUUAGAGGUAAAAGGCAAGAGUGUAAGAUUAUUAGAGGGUAAAAGCCAAAUUUGAGCGAUACACGAGUGAUUCAUCAUUAUUUGAGCGAAACACGUAAGGGAGUGUGUGAGGAAAAUUUUUAUCUACUAACCUUUGUUUUACAGCAAACAUGUAUGGCUACAAUUAUGAAAGUUCUUAUGGGUCUCAAAGGAAUACUUUCCAAGGCAAUAUUGAUACAGAGACAUAUCUGAGAUGGGAGAGAAAAAUGGAGCGAGAAUUUGACUAUCAUGAUUACUCCGAGAGGAGGAAGGUCAGACGGGCAAUUCAAGAGUUCUCCGAUCAUACAAUUAUAUGGUGACAGCUUAUCAAACAAAAACAUGGGGAGCGUCCGUUCGAGACAUGGACAGAAUUAAAAACAGCAAUGAGAAAGCGAUUUGCUCCAGUACAGCGUGACAGGAGGGAGGAAUAUACAUCUAAAAAAUUUGUAGAGCAACCUUCAAGGCGAUCUACAUUAGAAGAUGAUAUGAGGGUUCACAGACAUGUAAACAAAGAGGAUUCACAUUGGAGACAACCCCAAGACACUCUUAAGGCAUCCAAGAACUUAAGAGAAGACAUCAAUGAGAGCUUUAAGGAGGUGGAAGAAAUUAUAGAAUAUGCAGUCCAAGGAGAGUUAUUGGGUUCAAGAUGAAAUCCAUGAUCAAAAGCAAGAUGGUGAACAUCCAAAAGAAAGUAAUCAAGAAGAUGAGUUCGUAAAAGGAAAUACAUGUGGAAAAGAUCGACAAAAAGAAAUUGUUCGAAAGAUUGAUAAUGUAAAAGAAAAAAUUGAAAAGAGUGAGAAUGAAAAGAAAAGAGAGAUUGAGAAAAAAGAGAAUGAAAAGAGUGACCUUGAAAAUAAAUGAGGGGUCAAGGUGUCGUUGGUGUCCAUUCAACGCAGAAUUCCGAAUGCGAGCAAUUGUACCAAGAUUACCGUCUACAUAUAGGCGAGGGGUUAAGGUGUUGCAAGCAAUUCACCCAACAACUGUGCUAGAAACGAUCGGGGCGACGACCACCUCACGCAAGCGUGCCGUGGAG
RNAcentral lists this long non-coding RNA (2549 nucleotides) under Panax ginseng (ginseng). RNAcentral's name for it is "long non-coding RNA (PGIN_LNC003333)". Lineage: Eukaryota; Viridiplantae; Streptophyta; Magnoliopsida; Apiales; Araliaceae. The record is from RNAcentral.